Molecule: ribosomal RNA, 322 nt
Filed under: Fastosarion brazieri
Lineage: Eukaryota; Metazoa; Mollusca; Gastropoda; Stylommatophora; Helicarionidae
Description: partial 16S large subunit ribosomal RNA
Source: RNAcentral
GCAUAAUAAAUUGACUUUUAAUUGGGGCCUAGAAUGAAUGGGUACAUGGAUAAUUUCUGUCUCAAGUAAAUUUAUUUUAAGUUACUUAAAAGGUGAAAAUUCCUUUAAUAUAUAAAUAAGACGAGAAGACCCUAGGAGUUUGAAAUUUUGUUGGGGCGACAAUAUAGCAUAUAACCUAUAUAAUAAUAUAAAAUAUAACAAAUAAUAUUAAUAGUAAUUAAACUACCCUAGGGAUAACAGCACAAUUUUAUUUAAGUUUGUGACCUCGAUGUUGGACUAGGAACUUUUAAUAUUAACAGUAUUAAUUGGUAGUUCUGUUCGA